This 354-nucleotide unclassified non-coding RNA is filed under the name soil metagenome. Its description in RNAcentral is "partial contains 5.8S ribosomal RNA, internal transcribed spacer 2, and large subunit ribosomal RNA". The stretch from base 1 to 120 matches the Rfam family "5.8S ribosomal RNA", at positions 35 to 154 of the family's 154-position model. The record is from RNAcentral.
GAUGAAGAACGUAGCGAAAUGCGAUAAGUAAUGUGAAUUGCAGAAUUCAGUGAAUCAUCGAAUCUUUGAACGCACAUUGCGCCCGCCAGUAUUCUGGCGGGCAUGCCUGUCCGAGCGUCAUUUCAACCCUCGAACCCCUCCGGGGGGUCGGCGUUGGGGAUCGGCCCUCCCUUAGCGGGUGGCCGUCUCCGAAAUACAGUGGCGGUCUCGCCGCAGCCUCUCCUGCGCAGUAGUUUGCACACUCGCAUCGGGAGCGCGGCGCGUCCACAGCCGUUAAACCCCCAACUUCUGAACGUUUGACCUCGGAUCAGGUAGGAAUACCCGCUGAACUUAAGCAUAUCAAUAAGCGGAGGA